RNAcentral lists this ribosomal RNA (372 nucleotides) under uncultured organism. RNAcentral describes it as "bacterial SSU rRNA". It matches the Rfam family "Bacterial small subunit ribosomal RNA", at positions 526 to 896 of the family's 1533-position model. The record is from RNAcentral.
CAGAGACUGCAAGCGUCAUUCGGAUUCACUGGGCGUAAAGGGUGCGCAGGCGGUUGGGUGUGUCAGAUGUGAAAUCCCGAGGCUCAACCUCGGAACUGCGUCUGAAACUACUCGACUAGAGUACUGGAGAGGGUAACGGAAUUCACGGUGUAGCAGUGAAAUGCGUAGAUAUCGUGAGGAACACCAGAGGCGAAGGCGGUUACCUGGACAGUUACUGACGCUCAGGCACGAAAGCAUGGGGAGCAAAAGGGAUUAGAUACCCCUGUAGUCCAUGCCCUAAACGGUGCACACUAGGUCUUAGCGGAUUCGACCCCACUAGGGCCCAAGCUAACGCGUUAAGUGUGCCGCCUGAGGACUACGGUCGCAAGACUA